This 253-nucleotide ribosomal RNA is filed under the name uncultured Algicola sp. RNAcentral describes it as "partial 16S ribosomal RNA". It matches the Rfam family "Bacterial small subunit ribosomal RNA", at positions 524 to 776 of the family's 1533-position model. Lineage: Bacteria; Pseudomonadati; Pseudomonadota; Gammaproteobacteria; Alteromonadales; Pseudoalteromonadaceae. The record is from RNAcentral.
UACGGAGGGUGCAAGCGUUAAUCGGAUUUACUGGGCGUAAAGCGCACGUAGGUGGUUUGUUAAGUCGGAUGUGAAAUCCCCGGGCUCAACCUGGGAGCGGCAUUCGAUACUGGCAAACUGGAGUACGAGAGAGGGGGGUGGAAUUCCAGGUGUAGCGGUGAAAUGCGUAGAUAUCUGGAGGAACACCGGUGGCGAAGGCGGCCCCCUGGCUCGAUACUGACACUGAGGUGCGAAAGCGUGGGGAGCAAACAGG